GACGAACGCUGGCGGCGUGCUUAACACAUGCAAGUCGAACGGAAAGGCCCUGCUUGCAGGGUGCUCGAGUGGCGAACGGGUGAGUAACACGUGGGUGAUCUGCCCCUUACUUUGGGAUAAGCCUGGGAAACUGGGUCUAAUACUGGAUAGGACCAUGCUGUAGGUGGUGUGGUGGAAAGAUUAGUUUCGGUAAGGGAUGAGCUCGCGGCCUAUCAGCUUGUUGGUGGGGUAAUGGCCUACCAAGGCGUCGACGGGUAGCCGGCCUGAGAGGGUGGACGGCCACAUUGGGACUGAGAUACGGCCCAGCAUCCUACGGGAGGCAGCAGUGGGGAAUAUUGCACAAUGGGCGCAAGCCUGAUGCAGCGACGCCGCGUGGGGGAUGACGGCCUUCGGGUUGUAAACUCCUUUCAGCCAUGACGAAGCCCUUGUGGUGACGGUAGUGGUAGAAGAAGCACCGGCUAACUACGUG
This 469-nucleotide ribosomal RNA is filed under the name uncultured bacterium. RNAcentral's name for it is "partial 16S ribosomal RNA". It matches the Rfam family "Bacterial small subunit ribosomal RNA", at positions 28 to 507 of the family's 1533-position model. The record is from RNAcentral.